This 231-nucleotide ribosomal RNA is filed under the name uncultured Eubacteriales bacterium. RNAcentral's name for it is "uncultured Clostridiales bacterium partial 16S ribosomal RNA". It matches the Rfam family "Bacterial small subunit ribosomal RNA", at positions 103 to 334 of the family's 1533-position model. The record is from RNAcentral. Lineage: Bacteria; Bacillati; Bacillota; Clostridia; Eubacteriales.
CGGGUGAGUAACACGUGAGUAACCUGCCUUACACAAGGGGAUAGCCUUUGGAAACGAAGAAUAAUACCCUAUAAAGUCAAAAUAUCGCAUGAUAUAGUGACCAAAGAUUUAUCGGUGUAAGAUGGACUUGCGUCUGAUUAGCUAGUUGGUGAGAUAAAAGCUCACCAAGGCGACGAUCAGUAGCCGGCUUGAGAGAGUGUACGGCCACAUUGGGACUGAGACACGGCCCAA